AUAGGAGAUGAAUUAGACAUGUGACAGUAGAAAAAGAGAGAAAAGUUGGUGAAUGUGAUGGAGAAACAAAAGGAAGAGAAACAUGAGAAGGAAGAGGAGAGAGUGGUGAUUCAUGUGAACCAUUAAGAAAUGAAGGGGCAGUCUAAGUAUGACCAGUAGAUAAUAGUUGGAGAAGAUGAAGUGAUGAAAGAUGUAAUUUUGGACAAGUGAAAUUAAACAUCUGUACAGAAUUUGAAAGUGGAAUAGGAGAUAAGUUGGAUUAGAUGAGGAGGAAAUAGAGGAAGGAGAAGUUGGUUAAGGUGAAUGAGUAGAAGGAAGUGAAGCUUGGGAAGGAGGAUGAGAGUGUGAUGAUUCAAGUGAAACUUUAAAAGUUAAAAUACCAGUAUAUGGAUGAGCAGUAUGAUGAGAGGAGAAUCUCUCCAAGGUGAGUAAUUGUGGGAGAAGAAGUGAUUUUUUAAGGAUGUGAAGUGAUGAAAGAAUUAAAUUUGGACUAAAGAAAUUUAACAUGUCUAGAGAUUUAGCUAGUGGAAUUGGAGAUGAAUUAGACAUGUGACAGAAGAAAAAGAAAGAAAAGUUGGUGAAUGUGAUGGAGAAACAAAAGGAAGAGAAACAUGAGAAGGAAGAGGAGUGAGUGGUGAUUCAUGUGAACCAUUAAGAAAUGAAGGGGGAGUGUAAGGAUGAACAGUAGAUAAUAGUUGGAGAAGAUGAAGUGAUGAAAGAUGUAAUUUUGGACAAGUGAAAUUAAACAUCUGUACAGAAUUUGAAAGUGGAAUAGGAGAUAAGAUGGAUUAGAUGAGGAGGAAAUAGAAGAAGGAGAAGUUGGUUAUGGUGAAUGAGUAGAAGGAAGUGAAGCUUGGGAAGGAGGAUGAACAGUAUAUAAUAGUUGGACAAGAUGAAGUGAUGAAAGAUGUAAUUUUGGACAAGUGAAAUUUAACAUCUGUACAGAGUUUGGAAGUGGAAUAGGAGAUAAGUUGGAUUAGAUGAGGAGGAAAUAGAAGAAGGAGAAGUUGGUUAAGGUGAAUGAGUAGAAGGAAGUGAAGCUUGGGAAGGAGGAUGAGAGUGUGAUGAUUCAAGUGAAACUUUAAAAGUUAAAAUACCAGUAUAUGGAUGAGCAGUAAGAUGAGAGGAGAAUCUCUCCAAGGUGAGUAAUUGUGGGAGAAGAAGUGAUUUUUUAAGGAUGUGAAGUGAUGAAAGAAUUAAAUUUGGACUAAAGAAAUUUAACAUGUCUAGAGAUUUAGCUAGUGGAAUUGGAGAUGAAUUAGACAUGUGACAGAAGAAAAAGAAAGAAAAGUUGGUGAAUGUGAUGGUGAAACAAAAGGAAGAGAAACAUGAGAAGGAAGUGGAGAGAGUGGUGAUUCAUGUGAACCAUUAAGAAAUGAAGGGGGAGUAUAAGGAUGAACAGUAGAUAAUAGCUGGAGAAGAUGAAGUGAUGAAAGAUGUAAUUUUGGACAUGUGAAAUUAAACAUCUGUACAGAAUUUGAAAGUGGAAUAGGAGAUAAGUUGGAUUAGAUGAGGAGGAAAUAGAAGAAGGAGAAGUUGGUUAAGGUGAAUGAGUAGAAGGAAGUGAAGCUUGGGAAGGAGGAUGAACAGUAUAUAAUAGUUGGACAAGAUGAAGUGAUGAGAGAUGUAAUUUUGGACAAGUGAAAUUUAACAUCUUUACAGAGUUUGAAAGUGGAAUAGGAGAAAAGUUGGAUUAGAUGAGGAGGAAAUAGAAGAAGGAGAAGUUGGUUAAGGUGAAUGAGUAGAAGGAAGUGAAGCUUGGGAAGGAGGAUGCGGGUGUGAUGAUUCAAGUGAAACUUUAAAAGUUAAAAUGCCAGUAUAUGGAUGAGCAGUAAGAUGAGAGGAGAAUCUCUCCAAGGUGAGUAAUUGUGGGAGAAGAAGUGAUUUUUUAAGGAUGUAAAGUGAUGAAAGAAUGUAAUUUGGACUAAAGAAAUUUAACAUGUCUAGAGAUUUAGCUUGUGGAAUAGGAGAUGAAUUAGACAUGUGACAGAAGAAAAAGAGAGAAAAGUUGGUGAAUGUGAUGGAGAAACAAAAGGAAGAGAAACAUGAGAAGGAAGAGGAGAGAGUGGUGAUUCAUGUGAACCAUUAAGAAAUGAAGGGGCAGUCUAAGUAUGACCAGUAGAUAAUAGUUGGAGAAGAUGAAGUGAUGAAAGAUGUAAUUUUGGACAAGUGAAAUUAAACAUCUGUACAGAAUUUGAAAGUGGAAUAGGAGAUAAGUUGGAUUAGAUGAGGAGGAAAUAGAGGAAGGAGAAGUUGGUUAAGGUGAAUGAGUAGAAGGAAGUGAAGCUUGGGAAGGAGGAUGAGAGUGUGAUGAUUCAAGUGAAACUUUAAAAGUUAAAAUACCAGUAUAUGGAUGAGCAGUAUGAUGAGAGGAGAAUCUCUCCAAGGUGAGUAAUUGUGGGAGAAGAAGUGAUUUUUUAAGGAUGUGAAGUGAUGAAAGAAUUAAAUUUGGACUAAAGAAAUUUAACAUGUCUAGAGAUUUAGCUAGUGGAAUUGGAGAUGAAUUAGACAUGUGACAGAAGAAAAAGAAAGAAAAGUUGGUGAAUGUGAUGGAGAAACAAAAGGAAGAGAAACAUGAGAAGGAAGAGGAGUGAGUGGUGAUUCAUGUGAACCAUUAAGAAAUGAAGGGGGAGUGUAAGGAUGAACAGUAGAUAAUAGUUGGAGAAGAUGAAGUGAUGAAAGAUGUAAUUUUGGACAAGUGAAAUUAAACAUCUGUACAGAAUUUGAAAGUGGAAUAGGAGAUAAGAUGGAUUAGAUGAGGAGGAAAUAGAAGAAGGAGAAGUUGGUUAUGGUGAAUGAGUAGAAGGAAGUGAAGCUUGGGAAGGAGGAUGAACAGUAUAUAAUAGUUGGACAAGAUGAAGUGAUGAAAGAUGUAAUUUUGGACAAGUGAAAUUUAACAUCUGUACAGAGUUUGGAAGUGGAAUAGGAGAUAAGUUGGAUUAGAUGAGGAGGAAAUAGAAGAAGGAGAAGUUGGUUAAGGUGAAUGAGUAGAAGGAAGUGAAGCUUGGGAAGGAGGAUGAGAGUGUGAUGAUUCAAGUGAAACUUUAAAAGUUAAAAUACCAGUAUAUGGAUGAGCAGUAAGAUGAGAGGAGAAUCUCUCCAAGGUGAGUAAUUGUGGGAGAAGAAGUGAUUUUUUAAGGAUGUGAAGUGAUGAAAGAAUUAAAUUUGGACUAAAGAAAUUUAACAUGUCUAGAGAUUUAGCUAGUGGAAUUGGAGAUGAAUUAGACAUGUGACAGAAGAAAAAGAAAGAAAAGUUGGUGAAUGUGAUGGUGAAACAAAAGGAAGAGAAACAUGAGAAGGAAGUGGAGAGAGUGGUGAUUCAUGUGAACCAUUAAGAAAUGAAGGGGGAGUAUAAGGAUGAACAGUAGAUAAUAGCUGGAGAAGAUGAAGUGAUGAAAGAUGUAAUUUUGGACAUGUGAAAUUAAACAUCUGUACAGAAUUUGAAAGUGGAAUAGGAGAUAAGUUGGAUUAGAUGAGGAGGAAAUAGAAGAAGGAGAAGUUGGUUAAGGUGAAUGAGUAGAAGGAAGUGAAGCUUGGGAAGGAGGAUGAACAGUAUAUAAUAGUUGGACAAGAUGAAGUGAUGAGAGAUGUAAUUUUGGACAAGUGAAAUUUAACAUCUUUACAGAGUUUGAAAGUGGAAUAGGAGAAAAGUUGGAUUAGAUGAGGAGGAAAUAGAAGAAGGAGAAGUUGGUUAAGGUGAAUGAGUAGAAGGAAGUGAAGCUUGGGAAGGAGGAUGCGGGUGUGAUGAUUCAAGUGAAACUUUAAAAGUUAAAAUGCCAGUAUAUGGAUGAGCAGUAAGAUGAGAGGAGAAUCUCUCCAAGGUGAGUAAUUGUGGGAGAAGAAGUGAUUUUUUAAGGAUGUAAAGUGAUGAAAGAAUGUAAUUUGGACUAAAGAAAUUUAACAUGUCUAGAGAUUUAGCUUGUGGAAUAGGAGAUGAAUUAGACAUGUGACAGAAGAAAAAGAGAGAAAAGUUGGUGAAUGUGAUGGAGAAACAAAAGGAAGAGAAACAUGAGAAGGAAGAGGAGAGAGUGGUGAUUCAUGUGAACCAUUAAGAAAUGAAGGGGCAGUCUAAGUAUGACCAGUAGAUAAUAGUUGGAGAAGAUGAAGUGAUGAAAGAUGUAAUUUUGGACAAGUGAAAUUAAACAUCUGUACAGAAUUUGAAAGUGGAAUAGGAGAUAAGUUGGAUUAGAUGAGGAGGAAAUAGAGGAAGGAGAAGUUGGUUAAGGUGAAUGAGUAGAAGGAAGUGAAGCUUGGGAAGGAGGAUGAGAGUGUGAUGAUUCAAGUGAAACUUUAAAAGUUAAAAUACCAGUAUAUGGAUGAGCAGUAUGAUGAGAGGAGAAUCUCUCCAAGGUGAGUAAUUGUGGGAGAAGAAGUGAUUUUUUAAGGAUGUGAAGUGAUGAAAGAAUUAAAUUUGGACUAAAGAAAUUUAACAUGUCUAGAGAUUUAGCUAGUGGAAUUGGAGAUGAAUUAGACAUGUGACAGAAGAAAAAGAAAGAAAAGUUGGUGAAUGUGAUGGAGAAACAAAAGGAAGAGAAACAUGAGAAGGAAGAGGAGUGAGUGGUGAUUCAUGUGAACCAUUAAGAAAUGAAGGGGGAGUGUAAGGAUGAACAGUAGAUAAUAGUUGGAGAAGAUGAAGUGAUGAAAGAUGUAAUUUUGGACAAGUGAAAUUAAACAUCUGUACAGAAUUUGAAAGUGGAAUAGGAGAUAAGAUGGAUUAGAUGAGGAGGAAAUAGAAGAAGGAGAAGUUGGUUAUGGUGAAUGAGUAGAAGGAAGUGAAGCUUGGGAAGGAGGAUGAACAGUAUAUAAUAGUUGGACAAGAUGAAGUGAUGAAAGAUGUAAUUUUGGACAAGUGAAAUUUAACAUCUGUACAGAGUUUGGAAGUGGAAUAGGAGAUAAGUUGGAUUAGAUGAGGAGGAAAUAGAAGAAGGAGAAGUUGGUUAAGGUGAAUGAGUAGAAGGAAGUGAAGCUUGGGAAGGAGGAUGAGAGUGUGAUGAUUCAAGUGAAACUUUAAAAGUUAAAAUACCAGUAUAUGGAUGAGCAGUAAGAUGAGAGGAGAAUCUCUCCAAGGUGAGUAAUUGUGGCAGAAGAAGUGAUUUUUUAAGGAUGUGAAGUGAUGAAAGAAUUAAAUUUGGACUAAAGAAAUUUAACAUGUCUAGAGAUUUAGCUAGUGGAAUUGGAGAUGAAUUAGACAUGUGACAGAAGAAAAAGAAAGAAAAGUUGGUGAAUGUGAUGGUGAAACAAAAGGAAGAGAAACAUGAGAAGGAAGUGGAGAGAGUGGUGAUUCAUGUGAACCAUUAAGAAAUGAAGGGGGAGUAUAAGGAUGAACAGUAGAUAAUAGCUGGAGAAGAUGAAGUGAUGAAAGAUGUAAUUUUGGACAUGUGAAAUUAAACAUCUGUACAGAAUUUGAAAGUGGAAUAGGAGAUAAGUUGGAUUAGAUGAGGAGGAAAUAGAAGAAGGAGAAGUUGGUUAAGGUGAAUGAGUAGAAGGAAGUGAAGCUUGGGAAGGAGGAUGAACAGUAUAUAAUAGUUGGACAAGAUGAAGUGAUGAGAGAUGUAAUUUUGGACAAGUGAAAUUUAACAUCUUUACAGAGUUUGAAAGUGGAAUAGGAGAAAAGUUGGAUUAGAUGAGGAGGAAAUAGAAGAAGGAGAAGUUGGUUAAGGUGAAUGAGUAGAAGGAAGUGAAGCUUGGGAAGGAGGAUGCGGGUGUGAUGAUUCAAGUGAAACUUUAAAAGUUAAAAUGCCAGUAUAUGGAUGAGCAGUAAGAUGAGAGGAGAAUCUCUCCAAGGUGAGUAAUUGUGGGAGAAGAAGUGAUUUUUUAAGGAUGUGAAGUGAUGAAAGAAUGUAAUUUGGACUAAAGAAAUUUAACAUGUCUAGAGAUUUAGCUUGUGGAAUAGGAGAUGAAUUAGACAUGUGACAGAAGAAAAAGAGAGAAAAGUUGGUGAAUGUGAUGGAGAAACAAAAGGAAGAGAAACAUGAGAAGGAAGAGGAGAGAGUGGUGAUUCAUGUGAACCAUUAAGAAAUGAAGGGGCAGUCUAAGUAUGACCAGUAGAUAAUAGUUGGAGAAGAUGAAGUGAUGAAAGAUGUAAUUUUGGACAAGUGAAAUUAAACAUCUGUACAGAAUUUGAAAGUGGAAUAGGAGAUAAGUUGGAUUAGAUGAGGAGGAAAUAGAGGAAGGAGAAGUUGGUUAAGGUGAAUGAGUAGAAGGAAGUGAAGCUUGGGAAGGAGGAUGAGAGUGUGAUGAUUCAAGUGAAACUUUAAAAGUUAAAAUACCAGUAUAUGGAUGAGCAGUAUGAUGAGAGGAGAAUCUCUCCAAGGUGAGUAAUUGUGGGAGAAGAAGUGAUUUUUUAAGGAUGUGAAGUGAUGAAAGAAUUAAAUUUGGACUAAAGAAAUUUAACAUGUCUAGAGAUUUAGCUAGUGGAAUUGGAGAUGAAUUAGACAUGUGACAGAAGAAAAAGAAAGAAAAGUUGGUGAAUGUGAUGGAGAAACAAAAGGAAGAGAAACAUGAGAAGGAAGAGGAGUGAGUGGUGAUUCAUGUGAACCAUUAAGAAAUGAAGGGGGAGUGUAAGGAUGAACAGUAGAUAAUAGUUGGAGAAGAUGAAGUGAUGAAAGAUGUAAUUUUGGACAAGUGAAAUUAAACAUCUGUACAGAAUUUGAAAGUGGAAUAGGAGAUAAGAUGGAUUAGAUGAGGAGGAAAUAGAAGAAGGAGAAGUUGGUUAUGGUGAAUGAGUAGAAGGAAGUGAAGCUUGGGAAGGAGGAUGAACAGUAUAUAAUAGUUGGACAAGAUGAAGUGAUGAAAGAUGUAAUUUUGGACAAGUGAAAUUUAACAUCUGUACAGAGUUUGGAAGUGGAAUAGGAGAUAAGUUGGAUUAGAUGAGGAGGAAAUAGAAGAAGGAGAAGUUGGUUAAGGUGAAUGAGUAGAAGGAAGUGAAGCUUGGGAAGGAGGAUGAGAGUGUGAUGAUUCAAGUGAAACUUUAAAAGUUAAAAUACCAGUAUAUGGAUGAGCAGUAAGAUGAGAGGAGAAUCUCUCCAAGGUGAGUAAUUGUGGCAGAAGAAGUGAUUUUUUAAGGAUGUGAAGUGAUGAAAGAAUUAAAUUUGGACUAAAGAAAUUUAACAUGUCUAGAGAUUUAGCUAGUGGAAUAGGAGAUGAAUUAGACGUGUGACAGAAGAAAAAGAAAGAAAAGUUGGUGAAAGUGAUGGUGAAAAAAAAGGAAGAGAAACAUGAGAAGGAAGAGGAGAGAGUGGUGAUUCAUGUGAACCAUUAAGAAAUGAAGGGGCAGUCUAAGUAUGACCAGUUGGAGGAGGGAGGACUCACUCCAAGCCCAAGGUGAGUAAUUUUUUAAGAAGAAGAAGAAGUGAUUUUGGAAUAAGGUGCAGUGGUGAAAGAAAGAAAUUUGGACACUUGAAAUUUUACAUCUUUAGAGAAAUAGAAAUUGGAAUAGGAGAUGUAUUAGAGGAAUGAAAGAAGAAAAAGACGGAGAAAUUGGUGAAAGUGAAUGAGAAGUAUGAAGAAGUAAUUGUGGAAGAAGAAGUGAUUUUGUAAGGAUGUGAAGUGGUGAAAGAAUGAAAUUUGGACCCAUGAGAUUUAACAUGUCUAGACAUUUAGCAAGUGGAAUAGGAGAUGAAUUAGACGUGUAACAGAAGUAAAAGAAAGAGAAGUUGGUGAAAGUGAUGGAGAAAAAAAAGGAAGAGAAACAUGGGAAGGAAGAGGAGACAGUGGUGGUUCAAGUGAACCAUUAAGAAAUGAAGGGGCAGUAUAUGUAUGACCAGUUGGAGGAAGGAGGAAUCACUGCAAGCCCAAGGUGUGUAAUUUUUUAAGAAGAAGAAGAAGUGAUUUUAGAAUAAGGUGCAGUGGUGAAAGAAAGAAAUUUGGACACUUGAAAUUUUACAUCUCUAGAGAAUUAGAAAGUUGAAUAGGAGAUGUAUUAGAUAAAUGAAAGAAGAAAAAGACGGAGUAAUUGGUGAAAGUGAAUGAGAAGUAAGAGAAACAUGGCAUGGAUGAGGAGAGAGUGAAGAUUCCAGUGAACUAUUACGAAUUAAAGGGGCAGUAUAACGAUAAGCAGUAGGAGGAGAGGAGGUGUCACUCCGUGGAGAGUAUAAGUUGGCGAAGAAGAGUGGUUUUUGAAUGAAGGGAAGUAAUGAAAGAUGAAAAUUCAGACUCACUCCACGGUGGGUAAUUGUUGUAGAAGGUGAAGUGAUUUUUUAAUGAGUUGAAGUGGGGAAACUGGAAUAAGAGCUGGAUUAGAUGUGUUGAAGAAAAUGAAAGAGAAGUUAGUGAAAGUUAAUGAGGAAGAAGGAAAAGAUACAUGGGAAGGAAUAGGGGAGAGUUAAUAUUCAAGUGUACAUUAAGAAUUGAAAGAGCAAAGUAACGAUGAGCCGUUGGUGGAGUGGAGGAAUCACUCCAAGGAGAGUAUAAGAUGGCGAAGAAGAGUGAUUUUUGAAUGAGGUGACUUGAUGUAAGAAGGAAUUUCCGACUCAUGAAUUUUACAUCUCUAGAGACUUAGAUAUGGAAUAAGAGAUGGAAUAGACAGGGAGAAAGAAGAAAAAGAAGGAGAAGAUGGUUAAUGUGAAUGAGGAGAAGGUUGAGAAACAUUGGAAAGAGGAUGAGAGGACCUGUAUAAGGAUGAGCAGUAGUAGGAGAGGAGGAAUAACUCAAAGUUGAGUAAUUCUGUGAUAAGAAGAAGUGAUUUUUUAAGGAUUUGAAGUGGUGAAAGAAGAAAUUUGGACUCAUGAAAUUUAACAUCCUUAGAGAAUUAUCAAGUAGAAUAUGAGAUGGAUUAGGGUGUUAGGAUUCGGGUGACACAUUAAGAGUUGAUGGAGCAAGGAUGAGCAGUAAAACUAGAAUUUUAUAUUUGUUUAUUAAGACUACUUUUGUUUUUGCAUUGGUUCGCUUAAACUACAUUUUUUUAUUUUUCCCUUAAACAACUGCUUUUGUUUUUUCUUGAUUAAACUACAGUAUGCUUGCAUGAUAUCUUUUUAUAUUUGGUUCAUAUCAAUACUUUUUUUGUAUUAAAACACUUGUUACAUCUGCUUACAUAAUUUUUUCCCCAUUUUCUUGGGUAAAAUUGUUUUUACAUUUUGAUAGCAUUAAAAUAAAUUUUUUUUGCCACUUUUUUACCUAGAAACUAUUCUUUUUUUUUUUUUUGCAUUUGUUUGCCAAAUCAUAUUUUUAUAUUUGUUUAUAGGAUAACACUUAUUUUCAUUUGUUUCCUAUAUACUCAUCUUCAAAUCUAUUUUCUCACGUUUGUUCGUGAGAUGUUUUUAUCUAAUGUAUUUGAAGCAUUUGCUUAGAAAGAGCUGCAGCAUACAAUGUGGUGCAUGUGAAGUAUUGGUUCAGGAACCCCUGAAUUUGGAUAUUUUUAUUAGCUUUCCAGAUUUCCAGAUCAAAGUUUUCAUGUAGUUUGUGAUCCCUGAUCUCAGGUUUCCUGUCUGUUCAUCUCCUGUCACUUUGCUGCCUCAGAUUGAUCUAUUCUCAAGAUAAGCGCUUGAUAAGCUAGUACCUGGUGAUUAUAAAGAUUUAAGGUUCCAGCCUCUGUUGUGUGCUGCAGCUCUUAUGCCUUGAAUCAUUCUAAGCUCUGGUCAAGAUAGAGGAGGUAUAUCAUCUUGGAAUUUUGUUGCUGGAGUUCUCGAUAAGGAUAAAGGCAUUUGCACUCUGUUUUACAGACUUCUGUCAAAAUUGAGUGGAAUUGGCAUUUGAGUUUCCUGAUGAAGACCACACUUGUAAGGUGUCGUGUUUCUAUAUAUGAUCCGGUAUGAUGGUUGGUGUGUGGUCCUGAAUGGAUAAGGCUUCUGCUCCUCCAUUAGUUUCUGGCAGCAUUUACAUGGAAGAGGUUCAUGUUCAGCUGGCGACGAAUUGUAUUUCAUAGUUGGCUCUCAGCACAUUCCUUUUGGUGCAUCCUCUCAGGCCCUUGGUGGUUUCCUAAGUGGUUCUCUUGAACUGGUGUCACAAAUUCGAAAUUUGCAUCAUAUUUUGUGGGGAGCUAUUAACACGAAUGCAUCCUACCUAUUGAUCAGAGGCAUGGAAACGGUGCAUCUCUGUGUACCGCAGCAGAAUUCCACUGCAUUAAGGAUGGCCAAACUUUUAGAGGCAUAUCCCAAGGGCUGUCUAUAUGAAAAGCAUUGACCCAGAUACAGCAACAACUUAACAUAUAUGAUGUGGUGUAUGUGAAGUACUAUGAUAAGAUUGUGCAUUUUCCCGAACCCCUGAAAUUGGAUAUUGUCGUUAGCUUUCCAGUUCACGUCACGACUUUCAUCUUCGUUUUGAUCCGUGGUAUCAGUUUGUUCGUGAGAUGUUCUUAUCUAAUGUAUUUGAAGCAUUUGCUUAGAAAGAGCUGCAGCAUACAAUGUGGUGCAUGUGAAGUAUUGGUUCAGGAACCCCUGAAUUUGGAUAUUUUUAUUAGCUUUCCAGAUUUCCAGAUCAAAGUUUUCAUGUAGUUUGUGAUCCCUGAUCUCAGGUUUCCUGUCUGUUCAUCUCCUGUCACUUUGCUGCCUCAGAUUGAUCUAUUCUCAAGAUAAGCGCUUGAUAAGCUAGUACCUGGUGAUUAUAAAGAUUUAAGGUUCCAGCCUCUGUUGUGUGCUGCAGCUCUUAUGCCUUGAAUCAUUCUAAGCUCUGGUCAAGAUAGAGGAGGUAUAUCAUCUUGGAAUUUUGUUGCUGGAGUUCUCGAUAAGGAUAAAGGCAUUUGCAUUCUGUUUUACAGACUUCUGUCAAAAUUGAGUGGAAUUGGCAUUUGAGUUUCCUGAUGAAGACCACACUUGUAAGGUGUCGUGUUUCUAUAUAUGAUCCGGUAUGAUGGUUGGUGUGUGGUCCUGAAUGGAUAAGGCUUCUGCUCCUCCAUUAGUUUCUGGCAGCAUUUACAUGGAAGAGGUUCAUGUUCAGCUGGCGACGAAUUGUAUUUCAUAGUUGGCUCUCAGCACAUUCCUUUUGGUGCAUCCUCUCAGGCCCUUGGUGGUUUCCUAAGUGGUUCUCUUGAACUGGUGUCACAAAUUCGAAAUUUGCAUCAUAUUUUGUGGGGAGCUAUUAACACGAAUGCAUCCUACCUAUUGAUCAGAGGCAUGGAAACGGUGCAUCUCUGUGUACCGCAGCAGAAUUCCACUGCAUUAAGGAUGGCCAAACUUUUAGAGGCAUAUCCCAAGGGCUGUCUAUAUGAAAAGCAUUGACCCAGAUACAGCAACAACUUAACAUAUAUGAUGUGGUGUAUGUGAAGUACUAUGAUAAGAUUGUGCAUUUUCCCGAACCCCUGAAAUUGGAUAUUGUCGUUAGCUUUCCAGUUCACGUCACGACUUUCAUCUUCGUUUUGAUCCGUGGUAUCAGAACCGUGGCAAUGAGGCUCAGACCUCUCACGACUCGAUGUGGUUUGGAGCUGAAAGGACCAAUAAGCUGUUGAUUCUCAUGAGGGAAACUGGUGCCGGUCAUAGAGCUUCUGCUGAGGACAUCUGUGAUGCUUUCCAAAUUAAAUUUGGUGAUGAAUGCAGGGUACAUUCUAACUCAUCCUCUUUUUUUUGUUGCUUAGUUCAACACCUGUUCUUUCAAUUGUUGAUUCUAGACCUGUUGUUGUUUUUCUUCCAUUGAACAAAUUAAGUUAGAAAACAGUUUUUUUUUUUGAAAAAUGUUUUUGUUUCCCUUCUUUCAAAUUUUGUUUUCUGAGGGAGUUUUCUUGGUGUGCGGUAUGUUUUUUCUGUGCUUCGUAUGUUUCUGUCACAUCUGGGGAUCUUGUGUUUUUUCUGUGCUUCGUAUGUUUCUGUCACAUCUGGGGAUCUUGUUCACGGGCUCUGUGGCCAUGUUUCAUUUUCUUCUUGAUGUUAUUUGCACAGCUUUCUCUCUCUGGAAAAGGAAGAUUAUGAAAAAGAUAACUUUGUACACAACUUGGCCUUUAAUUUUCCUUUUGUUUUUGCAUAUUCAUGUAAGCCAAAUUUGAGUUGCUGGUGAUGAUUGGCAGCAGUUCUUGCGACAGAGAAUAAGAGACUACAUAGCUGGAUGUUAUGAAAUUGACAUCUCUUCUAGGAUUUUUUUUCAUUACCUUCUCUUGUUUUUUCUGAAAUUUCAUGUUGGUGAUGAAGUUCAUGCCACCCUCUGAGUUUGUUUCAUUCUUGUUUGGACGUUGCUUGAUGGAACCAAGCUUGAUAGACGAUCCUCUAAACUUCUUUCUUCUCUCCAUUUGGUAAGCUCUUCACUUCUUCUACUCAUUUCCUAGUUUGGGGCAAUUCCUCAAAUGGCUUGUCAUUCUCUCCAAGGAGUGAGAAACUACGGUAAAAAAAAGUUCAUGUAUACUCUCGUUUGUUUGCUUUUUCUUUCUUCGUUCAUUUCUCUUUUUUCUUUUCAUAUUUUACAUUUAUAUUAGGAUUUCCCAUUGUAUUUUUUUUUUCUUUUGUAAUUUGUAGUUCUCUUCAUUUGUAAUUUUUUCUCUUGUUGAGGACUUUGGACUUUUCUUUUUGGGAUCCUUUGGUUGAUCCUUAUCUUGUUGUUUGUGUGGGUGAGUAGAGACUUUGGACGGUGGACUCUAUUGGAAAUAGAUCAUUUGGAGUGAUCCUCUAAGGUUGUGUUUUUUUUUAUUGCUUUAGUACUUGCUUCUUUCGCCUAGUUACCUUCAUCAUGGUCGAUGCUUUUGGGACUUAUUCCUCUCAUGUGUUUUCUUUUAAGUCACAUGCGGAGCUAAACUUGCAAAAUCAAGUCAAAAAAUGUUAAUCAUGAGAAGAAAAGGUAAACGAGUGCCAAAAGACGAUAAAUGGAGAGAGAAGUCAUAUAUAGUAAGCAUAAGAGUGAGUUUAGGUUCCCAGUUUUUUUGAGUUUCAUGUGGAUUUUGAUGAAAAUAAUGAGAGUAAACAAGAAAGAAAAGGAGUGAGAAGAGGUGAAAGAAAAGAAAAUGAUGAGAGAAAAAGUAUUAGAGGCCUUGCAUAUGACAUCUAUUACCUAGUGCCUCUUUACAUAUUAGUUCUUCAUGUGUUCCUUAUAGUUCUAUAAGACUAAUGGACCAUGUUUUGAGAAAUUUUAUUCAAAUAUAUAUUAUGGUUUAUUCUAAGUGUCAUAAGCUUUAUAUUGUGUUUAAUGCUUGUUCUUUCUACUUGGAUCUUGUAGUCCUUUUAGACUAUUAGUGCGCUUU
Long non-coding RNA from Lotus japonicus, 13093 nucleotides. RefSeq lists it as uncharacterized. NCBI's taxonomy places the organism in Eukaryota, Viridiplantae, Streptophyta, Magnoliopsida, Fabales, Fabaceae. The transcript is spliced from 19 exons. The record is from RefSeq and is a predicted model, not a curated record.